CAUAAGUAACCGCAAAUGCUUCCUUUUAUUCCUAUUUACACGUGACUUUUGACCUAAUGAUCUGAAGUCAUUGAUGUCCACCUGCUAAACCGACGCGUCCAUCAAACGUGAGAGAGUCGCAUUUCAACAAACACUGGCGAUCACGUCCUCAUCGCUGCCGUGUUCAUCUGGUGCUCCCCUUGUGGCAUUAACAUUUGAAAGACCCUCCAUCCUGUGAACUUAUUUGAACUCUGACCCUCUCCUCUGUGCGUCACAGACAAAAAAAGAGAGAGAAGCUGCAGCUGGGAUGGAUGGAGGACUACAAGUCGGUUCUCACCAGCAACAUGGCAGCAGUAGACUCCCGUCCAUGAUGAGCUGUCGCGUCUGGUCCCAGGCGACAAAGAGAGGGGAAAGAUGGCACGGUCCACGCCGCAGAGGACUACACCGCCACCACCAUCAACAGCAGCGCCUAGUGUCCCUUCGAGUGCACGAGCAACUCAUUUGUCCUAAUUCAUAUAUGCACCCCCGAGGCUACGCCCCCUCUUUGUGAGUCAGUGGUCCACACCUUCCUCCUCCUCCAGUGAGAUGCCUCUGCACAGAUAUGAAGGCUCACUUGUGAUUGACACAAUGCACUCGAAAAGGUACAAGGUGUUCAUUUUCGUCUUUGUCAUUGCAGCACAUAUCGCGGGGCUCUUUCUAAUGGUUUGGUGCCUUGAAAUAAAAUGGGUUAGCCUGCCCCAAAUUUGUAGGUUGGAUACACAAAAUGGGUCUCG
This is a long non-coding RNA of Hippocampus comes (tiger tail seahorse), 752 nucleotides long. RefSeq lists it as uncharacterized. The record is from RefSeq and is a predicted model, not a curated record. The transcript has 2 exons. Lineage: Eukaryota; Metazoa; Chordata; Actinopteri; Syngnathiformes; Syngnathidae.